RNAcentral lists this unclassified non-coding RNA (350 nucleotides) under soil metagenome. RNAcentral describes it as "partial contains 5.8S ribosomal RNA, internal transcribed spacer 2, and large subunit ribosomal RNA". The stretch from base 1 to 120 matches the Rfam family "5.8S ribosomal RNA", at positions 35 to 154 of the family's 154-position model. The record is from RNAcentral.
GAUGAAGAACGUAGCGAAAUGCGAUACGUAGUGUGAAUUGCAGAAUCCAGUGAAUCAUCGAAUCUUUGAACGCACAUUGCGCCCGCCAGUAUUCUGGCGGGCAUGCCUGUUCGAGCGUCAUUUCAACCCUCAAGCCCAGCUUGGUGUUGGGGAUCGGCACAGGCGCCCUCGGGCGCCCGCCGUCCCCUAAAUCUAGUGGCGGUCCCGCUGCAGCCUCCUCUGCGUAGUAGUUUUCUCCUCGCAAGGGCAGCUCGGUGGCGACCUCGCCGUAAAACCCCCAACUUCUGAAAGGUUGACCUCGAAUCAGGUAGGAAUACCCGCUGAACUUAAGCAUAUCAAUAAGCGGAGGA